GGUCCCAUCGUCUAGUGGUCCAGGAUAUCGCCCUCUCACGGCGGAGACACGGGUUCGAACCCCGUUGGGACUGCCA
Molecule: transfer RNA, 76 nt
Filed under: Candidatus Adiutrix sp.
Lineage: Bacteria; Pseudomonadati; Thermodesulfobacteriota; Desulfarculia; Candidatus Adiutricales; Candidatus Adiutricaceae
Description: tRNA-Glu
Rfam family: tRNA
About the family: Transfer RNA (tRNA) molecules are approximately 80 nucleotides in length. Their secondary structure includes four short double-helical elements and three loops (D, anti-codon, and T loops).
Source: RNAcentral